Molecule: ribosomal RNA, 485 nt
Filed under: uncultured bacterium
Lineage: Bacteria
Description: partial 16S ribosomal RNA
Rfam family: Bacterial small subunit ribosomal RNA
Source: RNAcentral
GAUGAACGCUAGCGAUAGGCUUAACACAUGCAAGUCGAGGGGCAGCGAGGGUAGCAAUACCUGUCGGCGACCGGCGCACGGGUGAGUAACGCGUAUGUAACCUGCCCGCAACAGGGGGAUAACCCGGCGAAAGUCGGACUAAUACCGCAUAAAACAGGGGUCCCGCAUGGGAAUAUUUGUUAAAGAUUUAUCGGUUGCGGAUGGGCAUGCGUACCAUUAGGUAGUUGGUGAGGUAACGGCUCACCAAGCCUUCGAUGGUUAGGGGUUCUGAGAGGAAGGUCCCCCACAAUGGUACUGAGACACGGACCAGACUCCUACGGGAGGCGGCAGUGAGGAAUAUUGGUCAAUGGGCGAGAGCCUGAACCAGCCAAGUCGCGUGAAGGAGGACUGCCCUAUGGGUUGUAAACUCCUUUUACAAGGGAAUAAAAUGAGAUACGGGUAUUUUAUUGCAUGUACCUUGGGAAUAAGCAUCGGCUAACUCCGUG